AUUGAACGCUGGCGGCAGGCUUAACACAUGCAAGUCGAACGGUAGCAGGAGAAAGCUUGCUUUCUUGCUGACGAGUGGCGGACGGGUGAGUAAUGCUUGGGAAUCUGGCUUAUGGAGGGGGAUAACUACGGGAAACUGUAGCUAAUACCGCGUAGAAUCGGAAGAUGAAAGUGCGGGACCGCAAGGCCGCAUGCCAUGAGAUGAGCCCAAGUGGGAUUAGGUAGUUGGUGGGGUAAGGGCCUACCAAGCCUGCGAUCUCUAGCUGGUCUGAGAGGAUGGCCAGCCACACUGGAACUGAGACACGUUCCAGACUCCUACGGGAGGCAGCAGUGGGGAAUAUUGCGCAAUGGGGGGAACCCUGACGCAGCCAUGCCGCGUGAAUGAAGAAGGCCUUCGGGUUGUAAAGUUCUUUCGGUAUUGAGGAAGGUUGAUGUGUUAAUAGUACAUCAAAUUGACGUUAAAUACAGAAGAAGCACCGGCUAACUCCGUG
This 490-nucleotide ribosomal RNA is filed under the name uncultured bacterium. RNAcentral's name for it is "partial 16S ribosomal RNA". It matches the Rfam family "Bacterial small subunit ribosomal RNA", at positions 30 to 507 of the family's 1533-position model. The record is from RNAcentral.